GAGUUUGAUCGUGGCUCAGAUUGAACGCUGGCGGCAUGCCUUACACAUGCAAGUCGAGCGGCAGCGCGGGGGCAACCCUGGCGGCGAGCGGCGAACGGUGAGUAAUGCAUCGGAACGUGUCCUCUUGUGGGGGAUAACCAGUCGAAAGACUGGCUAAUACCGCAUGAGAUCGAGAGAUGAAAGCAGGGGACCGCAAGGGCCUUGCGCGAGAGGAGCGGCCGAUGCCGGAUUAGCUAGUUGGUGGGGUAACGGCCUACCAAGGCGACGAUCCGUAGCUGGUCUGAGAGGACGACCAGCCACACUGGGACUGAGACACGGCCCAGACUCCUACGGGAGGCAGCAGUGGGGAAUUUUGGACAAUGGGGGCAACCCUGAUCCAGCCAUGCCGCGUGUGUGAAGAA
RNAcentral lists this ribosomal RNA (401 nucleotides) under uncultured beta proteobacterium. RNAcentral describes it as "bacterial SSU rRNA". It matches the Rfam family "Bacterial small subunit ribosomal RNA", at positions 9 to 412 of the family's 1533-position model. The record is from RNAcentral. Lineage: Bacteria; Pseudomonadati; Pseudomonadota; Betaproteobacteria.